Molecule: long non-coding RNA, 648 nt
Filed under: Arabidopsis lyrata
Lineage: Eukaryota; Viridiplantae; Streptophyta; Magnoliopsida; Brassicales; Brassicaceae
Description: long non-coding RNA (ALYR_LNC000939)
Source: RNAcentral
AAAUAGAUAGUUACAAAAUAGAAUAUCUAAUUUGCAAUAGGGUUUGAGACAAAAAAAAGUAACAAAUUAAAUAUAAAAAAAUGUGUGGUUUAUCAUUAAUAAAAAAUUAGAUUUAUUUUUUACACCAAUACGCGAAUCUUUAUCUAGUUAAAAAAAAAGACUUACCAAUUUCAACCAAUCAACAUAACAAACAUGAGUGAGGAUUUUAACAAUAGUAAUUCGAAAAUAUCAAUUUAAUUAAUAUUAGUAAUUUAUAAUGUGAAGAUGUAGUUGUUGUCUGAUAAAGUUGUUGAAUGAGUCAAUAAGUAAUACAAGAUUUUGUCUAAUGGAGUUGCUGAAUGAUUCAAGAAGUAAUUUUGAAUGCGACUGUUUUUGUGUGAGUGUCCGUUUCUAGAAGGUUUGAGAAGAUAUGGUUGGAGGAUGAAACACAAAGGAAAAAGGACGUAAAGGGAUUUAGAAGACUUGAUGAAAGUGGAGUUUAAUGAAGAAAAGUGAGAUAAACUUUUACUGGACUUACUUGGGAGAUAAGAGUGAGAACCUGUUACAAAAGAGAAAUAUUAAUUGAACUAUAGACUACGGAAACAAUGAAAGAAUUUUGAGAAUCCAUAUAUUUUGGAAAGUUCGGCAAAGUUUUUUGAUCAAAUUUAA